GACGAACGCUGGCGGCGUGCUUAACACAUGCAAGUCGAACGGAAAGGCCCUGCUUUUGUGGGGUGCUCGAGUGGCGAACGGGUGAGUAACACGUGAGUAACCUGCCCUUGACUUUGGGAUAACUUCAGGAAACUGGGGCUAAUACCGGAUAGGAGCUCCUGCUGCAUGGUGGGGGUUGGAAAGUUUCGGCGGUUGGGGAUGGACUCGCGGCUUAUCGGCUUGUUGGUGGGGUAGUGGCUUACCAAGGCUUUGACGGGUAGCCGGCCUGAGAGGGUGACCGGCCACAUUGGGACUGCGAUACGGCCCAGACUCCUACGGGAGGCAGCAGUGGGGAAUAUUGCAGAAUGGGCGGAAGCGUGAUGCAGCAACGCCGCGUGCGGGAUGACGGCCUUCGAGUUGUAAACCGCUUUCGCCUGUGACGAAGCGUGAGUGACGGUAAUGGGUAAAGAAGCACCGGCUAACUACGUG
RNAcentral lists this ribosomal RNA (468 nucleotides) under uncultured bacterium. RNAcentral's name for it is "partial 16S ribosomal RNA". It matches the Rfam family "Bacterial small subunit ribosomal RNA", at positions 28 to 507 of the family's 1533-position model. The record is from RNAcentral.